Molecule: ribosomal RNA, 409 nt
Filed under: bacterium enrichment culture clone ALO1_GLFRUDD03F4VVE
Lineage: Bacteria
Description: bacterial SSU rRNA
Rfam family: Bacterial small subunit ribosomal RNA
Source: RNAcentral
GAGUUUGAUCAUGGCUCAGAUUGAACGCUGGCGGCAUGCCUUACACAUGCAAGUCGAACGGCAGCACGGGAGCUUGCUCCUGGUGGCGAGUGGCGAACGGGUGAGUAAUGCAUCGGAACGUAUCCUGGAGUGGGGGAUAACGUAGCGAAAGUUACGCUAAUACCGCAUAUUCUGUGAGCAGGAAAGCGGGGGACCUUCGGGCCUCGCGCUCUUGGAGCGGCCGAUGUCGGAUUAGCUAGUUGGUGAGGUAAAGGCUCACCAAGGCGACGAUCCGUAGCAGGUCUGAGAGGAUGAUCUGCCACACUGGAACUGAGACACGGUCCAGACUCCUACGGGAGGCAGCAGUGGGGAAUUUUGGACAAGUGGGGGCAACCCUGAUCCAGCCAUGCCGCGUGAGUGAAGAAGGCCU